UACGUAGGGGGCAAGCGUUGUCCGGAAUUAUUGGGCGUAAAGAGCGCGUAGGCGGCCCGGUAAGUCCGCUGUAAAAGUCACAGGCUCAACCUGUGAAUGUCAGUGGAUACUGCCGGGCUAGAGUCCGGAAGAGGCGAGUGGAAUUCCUGGUGUAGCGGUGGAAUGCGCAGAUAUCAGGAGGAACACCAACGGCGAAGGCAGCUCGCUGGGACGGUACUGACGCUGAGGCGCGAAAGCGUGGGGAGCAAACAGG
This 253-nucleotide ribosomal RNA is filed under the name uncultured bacterium. RNAcentral's name for it is "partial 16S ribosomal RNA". It matches the Rfam family "Bacterial small subunit ribosomal RNA", at positions 524 to 776 of the family's 1533-position model. The record is from RNAcentral.